Molecule: transfer RNA, 69 nt
Filed under: Marmota monax (woodchuck)
Lineage: Eukaryota; Metazoa; Chordata; Mammalia; Rodentia; Sciuridae
Description: tRNA.Ala
Source: RNAcentral
GGAUUGUAGCUCAGUGGUAGAGUGCUUGCCUGGCAUGUGUGAGGCAACUGGGUUCAAUUCUCAGCACCA